GGCUCCUGAAGAAUCCACUAGGGAUGCUCUGGAAGGCUAAGGGGGAUUUUUUUUUUUUUUUAGGGCUUUAAAACCCACUUCUGUACAGCUGCUGGAAGGAAAGGUUUUAGCAGAAGAGCUGGGUUCCAUACUGCCCCUGCCAGCCCUCCCCUCCUCUGAACUUCACACGAUGGUUCCCAAUAUAUGAAGCCCUCAGGGAAGUGGGACAGGGCCAAGGAGUGAGGUGCAGCAGCAAGAGAAAGUCAUCAGGAACAGGAGGUGUGAAGAAUGGGAUGUGACAUGCGGCACGUCACUCUUGCUCGAGGGAGCCAUCUCAGAUCACAUGUGCAACACUGGUUUCCAUUGUGAGUGUUAAGUUUUAAAAGUUUUAUUGACUGUGAAGGGACCCAGAGCAGACUUCUCUUCUUCGCCUGAACCCUAUGGGGAUCUGGAGCCUUGGUACCAUCGGAGCCCCUUGUGCCCAUCAGCCUCCUUGGUGAGGCUCUCCUGAAACUGGACCUCUUACUUUUGGUUGAAGAUCAUCAGAGGUUGAUAAACUCUUUCACUAUGAAAAAUGUUUUACAGAGACUGAAACCCCCGUCAGUUGGAAGAAGUUGACUGACUGCUGCCCACAAGCAUGGAGACCCCAGACCAGCUGGAACCCGAAGGUUGAUGAUGCUGACUCCCACUUACCUCACCACCAACCCCUCAGAAGAACGUCCAGGAGUUGAUCAUACCCUGUCCUUUGAACCAUUACUGUAAAACUCCUCACCAUCCCCUUCAGGUCAGUACACACACUUCUGAGGACAUUAG
Molecule: long non-coding RNA, 792 nt
Filed under: Capra hircus (goat)
Lineage: Eukaryota; Metazoa; Chordata; Mammalia; Artiodactyla; Bovidae
Description: lncRNA (ENSCHIG00000005440.1)
Source: RNAcentral